This 158-nucleotide ribosomal RNA is filed under the name Madracis formosa. RNAcentral's name for it is "5.8S ribosomal RNA". It matches the Rfam family "5.8S ribosomal RNA". Rfam says of the family: 5.8S ribosomal RNA (5.8S rRNA) is a component of the large subunit of the eukaryotic ribosome. The record is from RNAcentral. Lineage: Eukaryota; Metazoa; Cnidaria; Anthozoa; Scleractinia; Pocilloporidae.
ACUUUUGACGGUGGAUCUCUUGGCUCACGCAUCGAUGAAGAACGCAGCCAGCUGCGAUAAGUAGUGUGAAUUGCAGAAUUCAGUGAAUCAUCGAAUCUUUGAACGCAAAUGGCGCUCUUGGGUUCUCCCUGGAGCAUGUCUGUCUGAGUGUCGGAUAU